This 776-nucleotide ribosomal RNA is filed under the name Aphelenchoides sp. XA2. RNAcentral's name for it is "partial 28S ribosomal RNA". It matches the Rfam family "Eukaryotic large subunit ribosomal RNA", at positions 344 to 964 of the family's 3401-position model. Lineage: Eukaryota; Metazoa; Nematoda; Chromadorea; Rhabditida; Aphelenchoididae. The record is from RNAcentral.
ACAAGUACCGUGAGGGAAAGUUGAAAAGCACUUUGAAAAGAGAGUGAAAGAGAACGUGAAACCGUUAUAGUGGAAGCGGAUGGAGCCGACGUAUUAGUGCGUAUUCGGCCUCAAACCAGCAUAAUUUGUUUAAAAGUGUUAGGUAACUUCACUUUUGGAUGGUUGUUGUGUUGGUUUUUGGUGCAUUUGCGUACAUAGUGCGCCGAAUCAAUCGAAUCCGUUGUUUGAAGUCAACGAAGAGGACUCUUCUUCGGCAGAGAAACCUGAGUUGGUGGAUGGCAAAUGGGUCUGGUUGCAACAAAAAGCAGGUGAAUUCGCAUUCAGCAGUUAAUGUUUGAUUCAUUUUAGUUAGACAUAUAUGUCUGAUUAUUUUGGGUUAAGCAAUAGUUGUUGAGUGCUCGCUUUGAUUCGGUGUCUAGUCGGUCACCCAUUUGACCCGUCUUGAAACACGGACCAAGGAGUUUAAGGUGUACGCAAGUCAUUGGACGUUCAAAAUUCAAAGGCGUAAUGAAAGUGGGACAUUUAGUGUCUGCAGUGUGACAAUUGAUUGAUUCGUUGAUCUGUUGGCAACACUGACCCAUGACUGGAAUUCAUUCUGUUGUGGAGUCUGAGCGUAUGCUUUGAGACCCGAAAGAUGGUGAACUAUGCCUGAACAGGACGAAGUCGAGUGAAAACUCGAUGGAAGUCCGAAGCGGUUCUGACGUGCAAAUCGAUCGUCUGAUUUGGGUAUAGGGGCGCAAGACUAAUCGAACCAUCUAGUAGCUGGUUCCUUCCGA